This 467-nucleotide ribosomal RNA is filed under the name uncultured bacterium. Its description in RNAcentral is "partial 16S ribosomal RNA". It matches the Rfam family "Bacterial small subunit ribosomal RNA", at positions 28 to 507 of the family's 1533-position model. The record is from RNAcentral.
GAUGAACGCUGGCGGCGUGCUUAACACAUGCAAGUCGAACGGAAAGGCCCAAGCUUGCUUGGGUACUCGAGUGGCGAACGGGUGAGUAACACGUGGGUGAUCUGCCCUGCACUUCGGGAUAAGCCUGGGAAACUGGGUCUAAUACCGGAUAGGACCACUUCUUGGAUGUUGUGGUGGAAAGUUUUUUCGGUGUGGGAUGAGCUCGCGGCCUAUCAGCUUGUUGGUGGGGUAAUGGCCUACCAAGGCGUCGACGGGUAGCCGGCCUGAGAGGGUGUACGGCCACAUUGGGGCUGAGAUACGGCCCAGACUCCUACGGGAGGCAGCAGUGGGGAAUAUUGCACAAUGGGCGCAAGCCUGAUGCAGCGACGCCGCGGGGGGGAUGACGGCCUUCGGGUUGUAAACUCCUUUCGCUAGGGACGAAGCGUUUUGUGACGGUACCUGGAGAAGAAGCACCGGCUAACUACGUG